Non-coding RNA from Akkermansia sp. KLE1798, 73 nucleotides. NCBI's taxonomy places the organism in Bacteria, Pseudomonadati, Verrucomicrobiota, Verrucomicrobiia, Verrucomicrobiales, Akkermansiaceae. The record is from Rfam.
GGCUCGGUAGCUCAGUCGGUAGAGCAGGGGAUUGAAAAUCCCCGUGUCGGCGGUUCGAUCCCGUCCCGAGCCA